CGGAAUUUGUAGUUGUAGAGAAUAGUCACACAUGUGUAUCAGUAAAUUUGAAGCCACAGACAAAAGUUGCAAACUUGUAGAUUUUUUUCUCUCUCCCACAAACACAACACAACAGUUACACCUUCUCGAAUCCUUCAUUGCAGAUACACAAAUCCUAUUCUACGAAUCACAAAUCAAGAAACUCGUACUCUCACAUGUUUUGCUACUAUUGCUGCAGUGAAUAUGGUGCAAAACACACUCACACACCUGCAUCAAAAAUGUGAAGUCGCGGACGAAUUUUGUACAUCCGCAAAUCAGUAUUUGAAUCCUUGCAAUGAGAUUUGCACACUUGUAGAAUGUUUUCUUACAUAUAUAUUUUUUUUCUUGGAUGCUUUUUCUAGCACAAACACAAUUACAUAAUGACAACGGCUUGAAUCUGCUGCUACGAGUCUCAGAUGCUGUUUUUCACUUGCAAAUGACAAGUUUCGCGCACUCUCCCUUUUGCACCACAUAUCUGUGUUACAAAUGGUGCAAAAGUGAUUUGUGCAUCUGUAGAGGCAGCGGCGGCCCUCUGCAGAGAUCAGAGAAGUUUGGCCAAUCAGAAGAGCUACACUGUAUCAGGUUUUUGUUAUUCUUUAUAGUUCUUCGGUUUUUAUGAUCAAGUUUGUGGAUCUUAUCGUCUGCAACGCCGAGGGUGUAUUUUGGAGCCAUCGCGACAGUGAUUACAUCAGCUGGUUUUAGUCUAUUGGUAAUGUCACUUGCAACGGAGGUGUAUUGGAGUCUUUUCCUGUGAUUGAAUCAUAGAGGUGGUAACAACAGGAGAUUGCUCCAAGCAAAAGCAGGGAUGCUGACUAUGAAGGGCAGAAUCACAAUAUGGCCAGCUGUCAAUUUUAUUGAAAUUAG
Molecule: long non-coding RNA, 882 nt
Organism: Onychostoma macrolepis
Lineage: Eukaryota; Metazoa; Chordata; Actinopteri; Cypriniformes; Cyprinidae
Exons: 3
Source: RefSeq, a predicted model, not a curated record